UGCAAGUCGAGCGGCAGCACGGGGAGCUUGCUCCCUGGUGGCGAGCGGCGGACGGGUGAGUAAUGCAUAGGAAUCUGCCCGGUAGUGGGGGAUAACCUGGGGAAACCCAGGCUAAUACCGCAUACGUCCUACGGGAGAAAGCAGGGGACCUUCGGGCCUUGCGCUAUCGGAUGAGCCUAUGUCGGAUUAGCUGGUUGGUGAGGUAAUGGCUCACCAAGGCAACGAUCCGUAGCUGGUCUGAGAGGAUGAUCAGCCACAUCGGGACUGAGACACGGCCCGAACUCCUACGGGAGGCAGCAGUGGGGAAUAUUGGACAAUGGGCGCAAGCCUGAUCCAGCCAUGCCGCGUGUGUGAAGAAGGCCCUCGGGUUGUAAAGCACUUUCAGUGGGGAAGAAAGCCUUCCGGUUAAUACCCGGGAGGAGGGACAUCACCCACAGAAGAAGCACCGGCUAACUCCGUGCCAGCAGCCGCGGUAAU
This 477-nucleotide ribosomal RNA is filed under the name uncultured bacterium. RNAcentral describes it as "bacterial SSU rRNA". It matches the Rfam family "Bacterial small subunit ribosomal RNA", at positions 56 to 524 of the family's 1533-position model. The record is from RNAcentral.